This is a long non-coding RNA of Juglans microcarpa x Juglans regia, 305 nucleotides long. RefSeq lists it as uncharacterized. The record is from RefSeq and is a predicted model, not a curated record. Lineage: Eukaryota; Viridiplantae; Streptophyta; Magnoliopsida; Fagales; Juglandaceae. The transcript has 3 exons.
CAAGAUCAUCAUUAGGACCAUCAUACUUGCCAACCAUCGAUGAACUGAACAGUCCAACCAAUUGGGAGAUAAUCAAUAAAUUCCUUUUCAGGAGCAAUUCAUCCUUCCUGAACAUAGCAUACAACUCUCCAGAAAGGGGCAUUGGAAUGGUCUUAGCUCUUGAAUAUUCAUAAAAUAAAAAUAAAACUUUCGAAUUGUAUCUCUUCGAAAUCAAUAGUGAAGUUAAAGAAAUAAAUCAACUAAUCGUUUGAAUCCUUGUUUCAAAGUCUCUAAAUUAUAUGCCCUUUGGCUGAAUCAUAACAACU